RNAcentral lists this ribosomal RNA (1241 nucleotides) under metagenome. RNAcentral's name for it is "bacterial LSU rRNA". It matches the Rfam family "Bacterial large subunit ribosomal RNA", at positions 1564 to 2815 of the family's 2925-position model. The record is from RNAcentral.
UGAGUACAAGAUGCUACGGCAUUGAAGCAGUCUAUGUCAUACUUCCAAGAAAAGCUUGCAAUGUCAUAAACAAAUAAUGCCUGUACCAUAACCGACACAGGUGGGUAGGUAGAGUAUACUAAGGGGCGCGAGAUAACUCUCUCUAAGGAACUCGGCAAAAUGACUCCGUAACUUCGGGAUAAGGAGUACCUUAUUUUAUAAGGUUGCAAUAACAAGGUCCAAGCAACUGUUUACCAAAAACACAGGUCUCCGCUAAGUCGUAAGACGAUGUAUGGGGGCUGACGCCUGCCCAGUGCCAGAAGGUUAAAGAAGUUGGUUAGCAUUAGCGAAGCUGAUAACUGAAGCCCUGGUGAACGGCGGCCGUAACGAUAACGGUCCUAAGGUAGCGAAAUUCCUUGUCGGGUAAGUUCCGACCCGCACGAAAGGCGUAAUGAUUUGGAUACUGUCUCGAGAGGGGCUCGGUGAAAUAGACUUGUCUGUGAAGAUGCGGACUACCUGCACCUGGACAGAAAGACCCUAUGAAGCUUUACUGUAACUUGAGAUUGAAAUUGGACUUUAUUUGCGCAGUAUAGGUGGGAGACCUCGAAAGUAUUCUUGCGGGAAUAUUGGAGUCAUCAGUGAGAUACCACUCUUAUAAUGUUAGAUUUCUAACUUUGUAUCAUUAUCUGGUCAAAGAACAGUUUCAGGCGGGCAGUUUGACUGGGGCGGUCGCCUCCCAAAUGGUAACGGAGGCGCACAAAGGUUUCCUCUGAACGUGUAGAAAUCGUAUCUAGAGUGUAAAGGCAUAAGGAAGCUUGACUGUGAGACCUACAAGUCGAGCAGGGACGAAAGUCGGUCUUAGUGAUCUGACGGUGCUGAGUGGAAAGGCCGUCACUCAACGGAUAAAAGUUACUCUAGGAUAACAGGCUGAUCUCCCCCAAGAGUUCACAUCGACGGGGAGGUUUGGCACCUCGAUGUCGGCUCAUCGCAUCCUGGGGCGGUAGUACGUCCCAAGGGUUGGGCUGUUCGCCCAUGAAAGCGGUACGCGAGCUGGGUUCAGAACGUCGUGAGACAGUUCGGUCCAUAUCCGGUGUAGGCGUUAGAAUAUUGAGAGGAGCCUUCUUUAGUACGAGAGGACCGAGAAGGACAUACCUCUGGUGUACCAGUUAUCGUGCCAACGGUAAACGCUGGGUAGCUAUGUAUGGAGAGGAUAACCGCUGAAAGCAUCUAAGUGGGAAGCCCACCUCAAGAUAAGUAUUCUC